GACGAACGCUGGCGGCGUGCUUAACACAUGCAAGUCGAACGGUGAAGCGAGUGCUUGCACUCGUGGAUCAGUGGCGAACGGGUGAGUAACACGUGAGUAACCUGCCCAUCACUCUGGGAUAAGCACUGGAAACGGUGUCUAAUACUGGAUACGACCAACCCUUGCAUGGGGUGUUGGUGGAAAGAUUUAUCGGUGAUGGAUGGACUCGCGGCCUAUCAGCUUGUUGGCGGGGUAAUGGCCCACCAAGGCGACGACGGGUAGCCGGCCUGAGAGGGUGACCGGCCACACUGGGACUGAGACACGGCCCACACUCCUACGGGAGGCAGCAGUGGGGAAUAUUGCACAAUGGGCGAAAGCCUGAUGCAGCGACGCCGCGUGAGGGAUGACGGCCUUCGGGUUGUAAACCUCUUUCAGCAGGGAAGAAGCGAAAGUGACGGUACCUGCAGAAGAAGCACCGGCUAACUACGUG
This 469-nucleotide ribosomal RNA is filed under the name uncultured bacterium. Its description in RNAcentral is "partial 16S ribosomal RNA". It matches the Rfam family "Bacterial small subunit ribosomal RNA", at positions 28 to 507 of the family's 1533-position model. The record is from RNAcentral.